UAGUAUUUGGGAAAAUGGAACUUUUGAAGGAUGCAAAUCACUCAGAUCAUUAUAUUUGAAUAAAAAUAGUAUCUCAAAAAUGGAGGCAAAUGCAUUCACACCUAUGCAAGAAAAUGAACCAACUUUGUCAAAUCUGCAAAUUCGUGUCUUUAUCGCACAACAAAUUAACUUAAAUUGAUUUUACUGUAUUUUACAAAACGUCUACAUCAACUCUAUCUAUCAUGGAUAAUCGUAUCGAAAAAGUAGAAAAUCCUUCGGCUAGAGGACUGCCGAAAUUGCGAAGAUUAUAUUUAGACAAUAACAAAAUACAACAUUUACCAAACACUACUUUUUUUGGAUUUUCAUCGUUAAUAGAAUUAUCGUUAGAUAAGAAUGAAAUAAUUCAACUACAGCCAAGUGUAAUUGUCCACUUCGAAAGGUAACGUCUGUCAGUUUAGACCGAAAAAAAUACAAACAUUGUCACAUAGUGCAUUCUAUGGAGUUACGGUACCUUUCUUUAGACUAUAACAGAAUAUCUACCCUCAAGUGUAACAAUAAUGUACCUAAGUAAUAACAUGAUAAGGAAUAUGGAAAAUCUUUCUUUAAAAAAGUUUAAAUCUUUGAAAAGAUUAGACCUUAGCAGUAAUCAUAUCAAAAGUCUUCGAUCUGGCAUGUUUGCAGGUUUACCACACUUGGACUAUUCAAAUCUCAGUGACAAUAAAGUACAAUAUAUUGACAACACGAACAUUUUCGGACUUAAAGUCAUUGAAAGACGUUUUUUGAAUAACAAUAAAAUUGUUCAUCAUAAAUUUAAAUAAUAACAACAUCAAACAUAUAUAUAAUGGAACAUUCGAUCAGUUGAAAAACCUUCGUUAUUUGUAUAUAAGUAAUAAUGGGCUAGAGCGUGUGAAAGAACUAGGAUUUGCAGGUUUAGUUUCGUUGGACAUAUUGAAUCUUUCUGGUAACAGACUAGAAGACUUACAUUUGAAAGUAUUUUCAAAUUUAAUAAACUUGGAAUAUUUAUUUUUAAGCAAAAACCUGCUAAGCAAACUUCCAAAUGGAAUAUUUGCUAACUUUAGACGCUUAAAUGGUCUGCAUCUCGAUCAUAACCAGUUUUUUUUUCUAAACAGACUGACAAUACUCAACCUAUCCAGCAAUCAGAUUAGCAAUGUUUCAGUAAGAGCUUUUCACAACGUGCAGCCAUUAACCAAACUUUUAUUGGCCAAUAAUUCUUUACACUCAUUGAACCCUGACAUAACAGACUACCUUCGUGCUGGUCUACUAUUUGACAUUCAAUACAACAACUUAAGCUGCGAUUGUAAAUUUGCUAAAUUUGUGGAAAAUUACCAGGUGGAAGUGUUUUUCUAAGUAGAUGUGUCAGUCCUAAUCAGACAGCCUAUAGUUUAAAAAUCCCAAACUUUGACGAGGACAAAGUGUGCAAAAAUAACGCAGGUGUGGCUCUCAAGAAAAUCAGUACAACUGCGUUUGUACGUCAUCAUAUCAUGGGAAGUUUUGUGAAAACCCAAAGCAGUUAGAAGGGAAUGAAACAAUAAAGUGGAUUAUCAUCGGAUUGGUUACAGUGUUUGUCUGUAUUUUACUGAUUGAUCUUCUAAUCUAUGCAUACAUAGUCAAAGAAAGUAGACAAAGAAAUAGUGUUAUGCAAAAUAUGCUUUCUUCAGACACUGACAUUAUGUUCUUUUAUAUAUAGAAUGAACAAUCUGCAGCCAGCUCAGGUAGAAACCAUUAUCACACAGAUUAUGGAAAAGAAAUGGCAGCAAUUCCAAAGAUUGGGUAGCUAGAGAAACACAACAGACAAACCAACACACACGGAUCAAGAGUGAAGACGGGUCUCAAGAUUAUGUGUUAAUGAGAUGACAAAUAAUGCUUGUGCUGAAGAUGAAAUUCAAGAGUAAUGCACAAAAUUAACUUUGAUUUAUUUAGUAAUAAUAUUUUAUUAUAAUAACUUUAGGGCACAACAUAUCAAUCAUACAAUAUUGGUAAUUGGAAUUCAAAAUAACUUAAGCAGAUGUGGCGAAGAUCUGUUUUUAGUUCAAUGGUCAUAAAAUAAAAAAUGUAAAAAUCACAUUUGAAGUACUUAGCAUUUUGGACAGACCAUAGAAAUACAAAGAUAAAAGACAGAAUAACAACUCCUCAGGAUCUCUUGUACUUGCAAAAUGGCUUUCCUGGUAGUUCCAGGUCUCACAAUGAAAACAACAAUUGCGGAAUAGAGUGUCAACAAAAUUAAAAAUGAUUAUUUAGAAUUUUAUUGCCCACUGUUGUAUGCCUCAAAUUCUUACCUAACACACGUUCAAAACAAGUGAAUUUUUUCUGCAUGGUUUUCGUUAAUUAAAAUAUAUCACUGCUAACAAAGAAAUUAAGAACUAUGAAAGGUUAAAGUUUAACAGGCCAUGCGUAUCAGAAAGUUGAAAGAAGGUGGUGCAUUGUCUUCAUUUGUACUACCCUUCACGCGCAAUUUUGUGUGUAACUUUUAAGUUUUGCCCAAAAGUUUUGUUGCGCAAAUUCGUGGAAAUUGUUAUACGUGAAAAUUAGUAAAAAUAAGGUAAAUAACGAUAAACUAUUUAUAGUUGCCACUAUGACUUUAUGUGUGUUUAUCUCUUUUUUUUAAGAUGAGAGUUUCAAACAGGUCAAUUAUAGAAAAUAUAAUAGAAAAUAUAUUAGACCGUUGUUAUUCUGUCAUUUUAUAUUUCUACGGACUGACCAAAAUUUAUUUUUUAAUUAUUAUUAAUUUUUAAUAUUUUAAUUGUUUAUUAAACAUGCAGUUAUUAAUCCUUGCCAAUGAGAUUUAUGAGGGUUGCGUCAACCUUGUGCAUAAAGGUGCUGGGGUGGAGCUUGGUCUUGGGUGGCAUUUUAAUAUCCCUGUUACUAAAAUGUUAUGUUUAAUGUUGCAUCAUAUGCAAUUUUUUUGUAACGCGCCUUCUUGGGCUAACAUUGAUUUAUGUAAAAUCAAAAUCUUGUGCAAUUUUUCGGGUUUAUUUUUGUUUAUAUUUAUUUGUUUUUUUUGUUUUGUAUUAUUAUUACAAUAUUAAUGGAUUAUUUAAUAUGAAAACAAGUAUUUUUGUUUUAUUGACGCAUGCGCAGAUUUGCUAGAACAAUGAAGCCUAUUCAUCCUGAGUUUUUUUGGGGCUU
Molecule: long non-coding RNA, 3126 nt
Organism: Hydractinia symbiolongicarpus
Lineage: Eukaryota; Metazoa; Cnidaria; Hydrozoa; Anthoathecata; Hydractiniidae
Exons: 3
Source: RefSeq, a predicted model, not a curated record